RNAcentral lists this ribosomal RNA (878 nucleotides) under uncultured eukaryote. RNAcentral describes it as "SSU rRNA". It matches the Rfam family "Eukaryotic small subunit ribosomal RNA", at positions 567 to 1468 of the family's 1831-position model. The record is from RNAcentral.
CCAGCAGCCGCGGUAAUUCCAGCUCCAAUAGCGUAUAUUAAAGUUGUUGUGGUUAAAAAGCUCGUAGUUGGAUCUCAACAGCCUUGAAGCGGUUAACUUUGUAGUUUUACUGCUUUAUAGGCUGUGCUUUUGCUGGAGGUUUAGGGGUGCUCUUGAUCGAGUGUCUCUGGAUGCCAGCAGGUUUACUUUGAAAAAAUUAGAGUGCUCAAAGCAGGCUAAAAUGCCUGAAUAUUCGUGCAUGGAAUAAUAGAAUAGGAUGUCGAUCCUAUUUUGUUGGUUUUCGGGACUCGACAUAAUGAUAAAUAGGGACAGUCGGGGGCAUUUGUAUUCAAACGACAGAGGUGAAAUUCUUGGACCGUUUGAAGACAAACUACUGCGAAAGCAUUUGCCAAGAAUGUUUUCAUUAAUCAAGAACGAAAGUUAGAGGUUCGAAGGCGAUUAGAUACCGCCCUAGUUCUAACCAUAAACGAUGCCAGCUAGCGAUCUGCCUGCGUUUUUACUGUAGACUGGGCAGGAAGCUUCCGGGAAACCAAAGCAUUUGGGUUCCAGGGGAAGUAUGGUUGCAAAGCUGAAACUUAAAGGAAUUGACGGAAGGGCACCACCAGGAGUGGAGCCUGUGGCUUAAUUUGACUCAACACGGGAAAUCUCACCAGGCCCGGACACUGGAAGGAUUGACAGAUUGAUAGCUCUUUCUUGAUUCGGUGGGUGGUGGUGCAUGGCCGUUCUUAGUUGGUGGAGUGAUUUGUCUGGUUAAUUCCGAUAACGAACGAGACUCUGUCCUGCUAAAUAGUUUCUACUUCUCUUUUGAGUAGAAAUUUCUUCUUAGAGGGACUGGUGACUCUUAGUCACACGAGAUUGAGCAAUAACAGGUCUGUGAU